CGUGUGUUCACCUAACUGUGGCUCGUGUGCUAUUUUGAUAUAAUUUUAGAAUUUUACUUCUGGCUAAGCAGUUAAUGCUAUCUAUACAAAUUACAGGAUACAGAGCCACAAGUCAUCGAAAGACAACUACCAGAUAUUUUUUACACAGAAUCCAUAAUAAUGAACCAUAAUAAUAUUAUGGUGAUCGGUGAAAGAAGGUGAUCAGUAUAUCGCCCAUUUUUGUUAUUUUCUUUAGUAAGUAAAUAAAACAACUGCGUCUAUCGUAAA
Molecule: long non-coding RNA, 267 nt
Organism: Pectinophora gossypiella (pink bollworm)
Lineage: Eukaryota; Metazoa; Arthropoda; Insecta; Lepidoptera; Gelechiidae
Exons: 2
Source: RefSeq, a predicted model, not a curated record